GGCUGGUCCAAGUGCAGUGGUGUUUACAACUCAUUGAUCACAACCAGUUACAGAUGUCUUUGUUCCUUCUCCACUCCCACUGCUUCACUUGACUAGCCUUAC
This 102-nucleotide Y RNA is filed under the name Microcebus murinus (gray mouse lemur). RNAcentral describes it as "Y RNA (ENSMICG00000046021.1)". It matches the Rfam family "Y RNA". Rfam says of the family: Y RNAs are components of the Ro ribonucleoprotein particle (Ro RNP), in association with Ro60 and La proteins. The Y RNAs and Ro60 and La proteins are well conserved, but the function of the Ro RNP is not known. Lineage: Eukaryota; Metazoa; Chordata; Mammalia; Primates; Cheirogaleidae. The record is from Rfam by way of RNAcentral.